CUUCACCGACCCCAGCCACAGCGGCCGGUCCUCGGGGUGCUCGCGGCCGUAGGUGGCCAGCAGCGCCUGGGCCUC
This is a non-coding RNA of Actinokineospora bangkokensis, 75 nucleotides long. It matches the Rfam family "ASpks TB sRNA". The record is from Rfam. NCBI's taxonomy places the organism in Bacteria, Bacillati, Actinomycetota, Actinomycetes, Pseudonocardiales, Pseudonocardiaceae.